Molecule: ribosomal RNA, 321 nt
Filed under: Astrosyne radiata
Lineage: Eukaryota; Bacillariophyta; Fragilariophyceae; Cyclophorales; Cyclophoraceae
Description: partial Bacterial large subunit ribosomal RNA
Rfam family: Bacterial large subunit ribosomal RNA
Source: RNAcentral
UGUGGUUAGGGGUGAAAGGCCAAUCAAACUGGGAAAUAGCUCGUACUCCCCGAAAUGCUUUUAGGAGCAGCGUGCGUAUUGAGUCUGUCAGAGGUAGAGCUACCGAUAGGACUAGGGGGAGUCAAAUCCUACCAAAUCCUGACGAACUCCGAAUGCUGACAGAUAUGACGUGCAGUGAGGGCAAGGGUGCUAAGGUCCUUGUCCGAGAGGGAAAGAACCCAGACCUUCAGCUAAGGUCCCCAAGUGUAUACUAAGUUGAACUAAGGCGGUCCAGUUGCAUAGACAGCCAGGAUGUUGGCUUGGAAGCAGCCAUUCAUUUAA